Nicotiana attenuata is the source of this 978-nucleotide long non-coding RNA. RefSeq lists it as uncharacterized. The transcript is spliced from 4 exons. NCBI's taxonomy places the organism in Eukaryota, Viridiplantae, Streptophyta, Magnoliopsida, Solanales, Solanaceae. The record is from RefSeq and is a predicted model, not a curated record.
UCAGAUCCUUUUCCCCAUAUUUUGGGGACCUAGCGCAGCUUUCCCUUUCUUGUGGACUAAAAAGAACCAGAUCACAAGAGAAGGAGAAUUUCCCCUCUUUAGAAGAAUGAAAAACGACGGCUGUCUCAUCUUGAAGGAGACCGAGCAGAACCUCUAACUCCUCUCUUCUUCAGCAACAGACGAACUGAGUUUGUCACCUUCCAUCCCCAAUUUCCCAUAGAAGUGAGACCAUUUCCCUUCUACAACCAAAAUCGAGCAGCCCCAUUCCAAAAGAAAAGGGCAAUAGAGUUUGAAUGAGAUAGUUCUAUGGUUUCUCAAGUUAUUGGGCUAUCAAGGCUACUGUGUUAGGUUCAAGGAAUUUUCUGUGCGAUUUUCAUUUUUUUUUUUAAGUUGAAAACUGAGUUCAAAAUCGGCUGCUUCUGCUGGAAUUUGCUGAGCUCCUACCCGCUGGUGUCGUUGCCUUUAUUUGGCUCCCUUUGCUUUCCAGAUUUAAUCUUUGUACCAUUAGUAUCCAAGCGUAUUCUCAAAAUGUCUGAGAAUACACCCAGCAAGUUGAUUACUAGAGGUAUAGCCAAAAAUUUGGCAUUGGAGAAGAGAACAAAAUCUCGACAUGACAAUUUCAAACAAACCCAAGUCGAGAAAUCACUGAAGGAAACAAGACUUCCCAUUGCGAAAAAGAGGAAAAAACAUAUUUCUCCAGCUUUCUGUCAAGGGGAAGGAGGUUGAAGCAAGUAAAAGCUCGGAUACACUUGAAGAAAAGGGAAUUAAGCUGUUUGUGAAAAAACAGCCUAUAUUUGCACCGCAUAUCAGUGUAUAUACUAACACUGACAUAUUCUCUGAGCUAAAAAAAAAAAUCUUUCUCCAGAGCAGUACAACCAACUGGGUAAUACUUGUUUUGGAAAUUUCCUUCAAAUGAAGCGUUGUGAAGUCCAACAUCAACUCUUCAGAUGCUUCACGGCUCUCCAGUUAGAAGGAACU